UUUUUAUUGUGUAGGUGGUGUUCUUUGCUUGUACGGUCUUUAUGUACUUUGAGAAAAGGUUGUGCGGUGUUGUUAAGAGGUUUCAUUUUAGUCCGUUAUACUCGCACCAUAUUCUUACAGAUUAUAGGAAACGUCCACAGAAUCGCCAUGUAUUCACGCUUCAUAACUAUAACACUUAUUUGCGUUCCGAUCAUUUUGGACUUGAAGAAUUACCCACGGCGGACUUUUUGUUUCUGCCAUUUGUCCACGAUGAUCAUUGGUGGUGUUAUUCAGUGAAAUUGAG
This is a long non-coding RNA of Vigna angularis (adzuki bean), 283 nucleotides long. RefSeq lists it as uncharacterized. NCBI's taxonomy places the organism in Eukaryota, Viridiplantae, Streptophyta, Magnoliopsida, Fabales, Fabaceae. The transcript has 3 exons. The record is from RefSeq and is a predicted model, not a curated record.